AGCGGCAGGCUUAACACAUGCAAGUCGAGGGGCAGCACGGGUAGCAAUAUCUGGUGGCGACCGGCGCAAGGGUGCGUAACGCGUGAGCAACAUGCCCGUAUCAGGGGGAUAAUCCAGGGAAACUUGGUCUAAUACCCCAUAGCAAUUAAAGGAGGCAUCUUUUUUAAUUUAAAGCUUUGGUGGAUACGGAUUGGCUCGCGUGACAUUAGCUAGAUGGUAAGGUAACGGCUUACCAUAGCUACGAUGUCUAGGGGUUCUGAGAGGAAGAUCCCCCACACUGGAACUGAGACACGGUCCAGACUCCUACGGGAGGCAGCAGUGAGGAAUAUUGGACAAUGGAUGGAAAUCUGAUCCAGCCAUGCCGCGUGCAGGAAGACGGCCCUAUGGGUUGUAAACUGCUUUUAUAUGGGAGCAAUAAGGUCUAUGCGUAGACUGAUGAGAGUACCAUAUGAAUAAGCAUCGGCUAACUCCGUGCCAGCAGCCGCGGUAAUACGGGGGAUGCGAGCGUUAUCCGGAUUUAUUGGGUUUAAAGGGUGCGUAGGCGGUUUGAUAAGUCAGCGGUGAAAUAUUUCAGCUUAACUGGAAGGGUGCCGUUGAUACUGUCAGGCUUGAAUAUGGUUGCUGUGGGUGGAAUGUGUGGUGUAGCGGUGAAAUGCUUAGAUAUCACACAG
This 671-nucleotide ribosomal RNA is filed under the name uncultured bacterium. Its description in RNAcentral is "bacterial SSU rRNA". It matches the Rfam family "Bacterial small subunit ribosomal RNA", at positions 38 to 704 of the family's 1533-position model. The record is from RNAcentral.